UACGUAGGGGGCAAGCGUUGUCCGGAAUUAUUGGGCGUAAAGAGCGUGUAGGCGGUCCGGUAAGUCAGCUGUGAAAGUCAAGGGCUCAACCCUUGAAAGCCGGUUGAUACUGUCGGGCUAGAGUCCGGAAGAGGCGAGUGGAAUUCCCGGUGUAGCGGUAAUAUGCGUAGAUAUCGGGAGGAAGACCAGUGGCGAAGGCGAGUCUCUGGACAGUUACUGACGCUGAGGCACGAAGGCCAGGGGAGCAAACGGG
RNAcentral lists this ribosomal RNA (253 nucleotides) under uncultured bacterium. RNAcentral's name for it is "partial 16S ribosomal RNA". It matches the Rfam family "Bacterial small subunit ribosomal RNA", at positions 524 to 776 of the family's 1533-position model. The record is from RNAcentral.